RNAcentral lists this ribosomal RNA (81 nucleotides) under Staphylococcus argenteus. Its description in RNAcentral is "partial 16S ribosomal RNA". It matches the Rfam family "Bacterial small subunit ribosomal RNA", at positions 1 to 81 of the family's 1533-position model. Lineage: Bacteria; Bacillati; Bacillota; Bacilli; Caryophanales; Staphylococcaceae. The record is from RNAcentral.
UUUAUGGAGAGUUUGAUCCUGGCUCAGGAUGAACGCUGGCGGCGUGCCUAAUACAUGCAAGUCGAGCGAACAGACGAGAAG